AACAGUUACAUUCUUGGGUUUCUCGUCUUGUUCAGUUGCUAGCAGUUUUUAUUCUUCCUUUUGUCGUGGCAUCAAAAUCUGAGUUUUGAGCUAGAUGUCCUGUUAACCUGUGAUGCAGUGGGAUAACUUUCGUAUUUGUGUUGCAAGACUAAUUUCCAUGUUAUCAAAGUUUACUUCACAAAAUUGGGCAAGUAUCUUUCUCGUUUACAGAUUUCACUCAGGUACUUUGUCGAUAUCUUCUUUUGUUGCUUCAUCAUGGGGCUAGCAGCCUUUAAAUGGAACUGUGCUCCUUCAGGAAGUCUUUCCUCCAUUAAAGUAGGUACUUUUCAUUUCCAAUAUGUGGUGAAGGCUCUGAUAUGUCGGCGAAUGCAUUUCACCGUCAUCAAGGAGUUGUAGCUGCAGGCAGUAAUAUCUGGAUCAGAAGAAUAUUGAAUAGAGUAGUAGAUGAUGAGUAGCAACAGAACACUGUUGUAAUAACCGCAAGUGAAUAUGAUGGAUGAAUUGUCAAAGAUUAUCAAUAGGCAUUAUAAUUUGAUCUGAGACUCUGAUUCAAGAUGUAGGCAACUUGGAGGUAUUGGAUUAAUUUGGAAGUUACAUGUUAUAAUGGCUUUGAAGGAAAAUGUUACAUUUGACAUCCUGUUAUGUAUUCAUGUAAAUAAACCUUCAGUUGGUUGAAUUUAUUAUGUGCUGGCUCGCUGUAAUCCUGGCUCUUCUAAUGCAAAUCAUCUCAUAGAAUGGAGAGUGAUGCACAUAGCUGAGUUAUCAUAUCGAUUUGUAUAGCUUAGGCCAAGGAUGGAUUCAGCUGGUCUGCUUCAUGUCUUUGCAUGUCUUGCGUUGUCCCUUCCGAAUCUGAACCAUCCUUUACCUCACGAUGAAAGCCUAAUUAUGAUUGACUGACUCAUUGAGCAUGCUAGUGACUCAAAGUCUGUACCGUUGAGGCUCGGUUAACAAAAUUGAAAAAGAAAUGAAGUGAGAGAAGUUACUAUGUAAAUCUGAAAUUGCGAUCAAUUGAAUCAUUAUCCUGGAUGAUCAAUGAAUCUUAUUAAAAAUUGCAAUAGAUAAAAAUGAAUGUAAAAGAAAAGAGAAGCCAUAUGAUGAAACCACCUAACAAAACCUCGAAGGGAAGAGAAAUUAUGGGAGUGGAGGUGAAAUUGGCUUGGGAAAUUCUGACAUAAAAUUGUAAUUUCAAAUGAAGGAAAUCUCUCUCUCUCUCUCUCUCUCUCUCUCUCUCUCUCUUUCUCACACACGCAUAUGCACACACGCACGUGCGGCCGCACACCAUG
RNAcentral lists this long non-coding RNA (1283 nucleotides) under Elaeis guineensis (African oil palm). RNAcentral describes it as "long non-coding RNA (EGUI_LNC011729)". Lineage: Eukaryota; Viridiplantae; Streptophyta; Magnoliopsida; Arecales; Arecaceae. The record is from RNAcentral.